This 91-nucleotide small nucleolar RNA is filed under the name Castor canadensis (American beaver). RNAcentral describes it as "Small nucleolar RNA SNORA42/SNORA80 family (ENSCCNG00000006301.1)". The record is from RNAcentral. Lineage: Eukaryota; Metazoa; Chordata; Mammalia; Rodentia; Castoridae.
GCAUAGUGUCCAUGCCAGAGCAAGCUGUGACUCUGAACCAUUGCCUGGCCUCUGCCUAUAGGCUGUUGGCACUAAAGUUGGUUGUACAGUG